GGCGCCUCUGGUGGGACGCAAGCGGCCUCUGCUGCCUGGGGGCGGCCGGCCAGCCAUGUCGCCCACCAAGCGCACCGUGCUCUCCAUCCUGGCCAGGGCCCGCGCCGCGCAGGGCAAGGACCUGCCAGACUACCUGCACCCCGCCAACGGAAGGAGCGCGGGCAUACCGGUGCUACGCGAGGACAUUAUUCCCGGAGGAGGACUCGUGUAAGGACAUAUGGCUUCAAGAGGCGACGGGCAGGCAGCUACACAUAUGGUGCCAACAGAAGAAAUGCCUCAUACAGCUGCUAGCUCGGCGAACCACGACCCCGCAGCGCAUGGUCGGUUUACACACUAUCCUAAUGAUGACGAGGCCUACACCGAAGCCUUGUCGACCGGAGGGACGAGACAGAGAGAACGAUCUUUCGCUUUCAUAACGACAUAUCUAGAGAUUAUUCAAUCGAAGCCUUUCGCUAAGAGUUUACUCAAAGGCGAACUGUCUGUCACCGUUUUCCUUGUAAGUUUCCUGAAGUAACGAAGGAUGCCUACUGUUCUUGCAGGCAGUUUGAAUUGACAGACAUUACUGUGCUAUAAAAAAGCCUGUAACCAAAAUUUUUUUAUCAAUAGCUCUUCACUACACUUCUGUUUACUUACGAAGCGAAAGAAUUGCAAACAAUGUCUUUUGCUCAUGAUGAAAUGAAAAUAAGUAGACAUUUUUAAUGCCACAUCUCUACCAAAUGUAAGUCGCAACAGUUCAAAUAUUCGUGCUGAAUGGCGGUGGUUAUCGUUCUAAACAGUCAAACUUUGCAAAUAAAUUACCCACGUAUCGUUAACACAGUCAUAUUAAUCGAAUAAACGAUUUUCAUGUACCCCCUCUGUAAUCAUCCUACACGUGAACCAGAUAGCAAAAUUCCUUGAGCGAGUGUUGAGUCGUCUCCUGCGAUGUCUUUGACGUAUUUGUUUAAUAUACAACGUGACUGGGCUUCUUACUAAAAUUUCUAUAUUUUCUCACGUUUAACCAAGAAACAUAUUUAAUGGCUGCACCAAUAAGCCAGUGAGUGAGAUUGAGAUAAGUACUGUAAGAGAUAUAGCUGGACAAUUUAAGAGUAAGUAUGUCAGAUGUUUAUACUUCCAUUUUAUUUUCAUAGGCUCAAUUUAUAAAUAUGAGGAACAGAAGAGGGAACAAUUAGGGUACCACAUGUGAAGUAAUAGAGUCCUAGCUUUAUCUAUUAAGACAUUCUCAAACAGGAACUGAUCGCCUAUCUGAAUUCCCAUACCCAGUCACUGAUUCCCACAGAAAACCUUUGAUCAGCAUCUUCGUAAUUCACAUCACUGGUCAAGCUGAACAAGCGAUUCGAAUCUCUCAAAAAAUAGCACAUUUUUGUUGCAAAAUUAAAUAUUUCUGUUUCAUAUUACAUUUCAUGGAAUAAUUUGAUUCAACAUUUGGGAAUACUGGACCAAAUUUGAUAACAAUCUUAUUAAAUAGCAUAGGAAUUUGAGAGACCUAAUUCAGAUAUUUUUCAAAACUAAAAUGCAAAUACUGUCUGUUUUACAUAGCUUAACAAACAUAUAUUUCAAAACAUGUUGCAUCAGUGCAGUUGCAUUAAAAUUUAGAAAGGGCCUAGCUGAAAAUAUAAAUUUGGUAUCUGGAUCAAGUUAGCUGUGAACUGCAGAUACUAUCAGUUUAUUACACCAGGAAAAGAAUUAUUUCAUAGUUCUGAAUAAUUACAGUGACUGCAUUAGUGGUGCUUGUAAAAUGAAAACUAUGUACAAUGUAAUGACUAAUAUCCACUUGCCUAUUUGUGCAAAUCAAUGUAUUGUUAAAUACUUGGAUGUUAGUGAAGAAUUUUGUAGUAACCAUUUGAUGUUACAGAACUAGAAAAGUUGUCAUGUGUGCUCGAAUGCAGGAAUCAAUGUAUAUUUUAUUGUAAUUUAUAAACCUUCAGCACUGCAUUAAAUAAUUUAAUAUGUGAGAUAUAUUUAUCUAUAUUUGCAAACUUUUAUACUUAUGCUUACAUGAUAUGUAUAUUGAAUGAUCUUGUCCUGCACUGAAUGCAGAUUAUUUUCCAUUUUUCUGUACACAGGGUCAAGAAUAAGAGUUUGCUAUAAUUUUUGACGUCUUAAACUUUUUGCUAAGAGAAUGUUUAAUUUUAUAAUUCAGCUGGUCUUGUACCAUUUGUGUCCCUUAAUACAGUGCCAAAAUAUUUGCUGUCAUGGUUAAUUUACAAUUAUUCAACGAACUAGUUUAUGUGUGAAACAUGUCAGACCACCAUCUAAUUUCUUAUGAUAAGGGUCUUGAUUGAAUAAAUGUGUCAAUUACGUGAUGUUGAGUAGAAAGAUAUUAGUCAUUCAUAGCAUGAUUAAAUAUGGAUGUUUCUAAUGACAUUUCGCUUUUUAUGUAUUGUAAAUGUAUGCUAUAUGUUAUUAUUGGAUGUUGGAUGUCUUUGAAAACUUUCAUCUGUUACUUAGCUGUUAUACUCAACUGUGUAAUCCUACAGAUAAAUAUAAAUGUACUUAUUAAUAACACCAUUGUAGAUCUACCCAGUUUACAGUUGUAUGUUACAUAGUAUGACAGUAAUUGAUGUGUAUGUGCAUAUAGGCUGUUUAACACCCAACAAUAUCCCUAAAGCAAUAGACCCCCUCGUGGUUUAUUCAUUUAUAUACUUAGUGAUGUGUAACAGCAACAAUAAUAAAAUAUCUUAAUUCGCCAGUAGUGGCAGGCACAUUUCAGUCGAGAUAUUUGUGUUAAACUCUAGUUGUAACAGUUAUAAGAAUAGUGGCAUUAUUGCUUAAAAUGUUUAACAGGAAAAUUAAUUAAUGCUUAUAGUUUAGCUUCACUGUCCCUAAACUGUUUAACAAUCGUUUAAUAAAAUUAUAUUGUCGAUGUCAGUACAUAUCUAACAUAAGAACUUAAAUAUAAUGAUAUUUUAAAGAAAGAUAUAUAUUAAAUAAUCCUUAAUUAUUCAUCAACUGCUAUGUGUUUCAACAAUUUUCAGAAAUUUGUAUUAUGUGCUUUUCUUAAAAAGUAUUAGUUUACUGCAGUUAGAGUAUAAAAUGAAAUGUAAUUGUUCUAAAAUAUUAAUAGAAGAAAUAAAUGUUUGAAAACAA
Long non-coding RNA from Schistocerca americana (American grasshopper), 3087 nucleotides. RefSeq lists it as uncharacterized. The transcript is spliced from 2 exons. The record is from RefSeq and is a predicted model, not a curated record. Lineage: Eukaryota; Metazoa; Arthropoda; Insecta; Orthoptera; Acrididae.